RNAcentral lists this ribosomal RNA (254 nucleotides) under uncultured bacterium. RNAcentral's name for it is "partial 16S ribosomal RNA". It matches the Rfam family "Bacterial small subunit ribosomal RNA", at positions 526 to 779 of the family's 1533-position model. The record is from RNAcentral.
CGUAUGGUGCAAGCGUUAUCCGGAUUUACUGGGUGUAAAGGGAGCGUAGACGGAGAAGCAAGUCUGGAGUGAAAGCCCGGGGCUCAACCCCGGGACUGCUUUGGAAACUGUUAUUCUUGAGUGCCGGAGAGGUAAGCGGAAUUCCUAGUGUAGCGGUGAAAUGCGUAGAUAUUAGGAGGAACACCAGUGGCGAAGGCGGCUUACUGGACGGUAACUGACGUUGAGGCUCGAAAGCGUGGGGAGCAAACAGGAUU